GAUGAAGAACGUAGCGAAAUGCGAUAAGUAAUGCGAAUUGCAGAAUUCAGUGAGUCAUCGAAUCUUUGAACGCACAUUGCGCCCUGUGGUAUUCCGCAGGGCAUGCCUGUUCGAGCGUCAUUUCAACCCUCAAGCCCCGCUUGGUGUUGGGCCCCGCCCGCCGUGGCCGGCCCUAAAGACAGUGGCGGCGCCGCCUGGCCCUCAGCGUAGUACAGCUCUCGCUCCAGGGUCCGGCGGCCGCCUGCCAGAACCCCCCCAACUCUGUGGUUGACCUCGGAUCAGGUAGGGAUACCCGCUGAACUUAAGCAUAUCAUAAGCGGAGGA
This 324-nucleotide unclassified non-coding RNA is filed under the name soil metagenome. Its description in RNAcentral is "partial contains 5.8S ribosomal RNA, internal transcribed spacer 2, and large subunit ribosomal RNA". The stretch from base 1 to 120 matches the Rfam family "5.8S ribosomal RNA", at positions 35 to 154 of the family's 154-position model. The record is from RNAcentral.